UUCUGCAGUCUAGAAGGAGGUGAUCCAGCCUGAGCCAGGAUCAAACUCUGGAAUCACUAGUGAAUUCCCUUGCGGCUGGAAGUCGAUGAUGUGCGGGGGAUGGCAACGCGUUGGAUAUAUAAUCUUGCCUAUUCUAGGGUUUUACCCCGGUAAAAUGGGUGUAAUCACCCCCAUAGUAGUUAAAUGAGGCAUCACUUUUACAUUAAAAUUACGGUGGUAAUAGAUGAGUAUGCGUCCCAUUAGUUAGUUGGUAAGGUAACGGCUUACCAAGGCAGCGAUGGGUAGGGGUCCUGAGAGGGAGAUCCCCCACACUGGUACUGAGACACGGACCAGACUCCUACGGGAGGCAGCAGUGAGGAAUAUUGGACAAUGGAGGCAACUCUGAUCCAGCCAUGCCGCGUGCAGGAAGACUGCCCUAUGGGUUGUAAACUGCUUUUACAGAGGAAGAACCGCCCACGUGUGGGUGUUUGACGGUCUCUGCGAAUAAGGAUCGGCUAACUCCGUGCCACA
Molecule: ribosomal RNA, 510 nt
Filed under: uncultured Antarctic soil bacterium
Lineage: Bacteria
Description: bacterial SSU rRNA
Rfam family: Bacterial small subunit ribosomal RNA
Source: RNAcentral